RNAcentral lists this ribosomal RNA (367 nucleotides) under Paracoccaceae bacterium. RNAcentral describes it as "Rhodobacteraceae bacterium (freshwater metagenome) partial 23S ribosomal RNA". It matches the Rfam family "Bacterial large subunit ribosomal RNA", at positions 1 to 310 of the family's 2925-position model. Lineage: Bacteria; Pseudomonadati; Pseudomonadota; Alphaproteobacteria; Rhodobacterales; Paracoccaceae. The record is from RNAcentral.
GAUCAAAUCAAGCGCGAGAAGGGCGUUUGGUGGAUGCCUUGGCAGUAAGAGGCGAUGAAAGACGUGAUACUCUGCGAUAAGCCAUGGGGAGCUGAGAAUAAGCUUUGAUCCAUGGAUCUCUGAAUGGGGGAACCCACCUGACAGUUUGUUAUAAUAGCCACCAAGUUCGCUUGUGGGCUGCUUAUAACGGGCUGAACCAGGUACUUAAGGACUGAAUACAUAGGUCUUUAAGAGCAAACCCGGGGAACUGAAACAUCUAAGUACCCGGAGGAAAGGACAUCAAUAGAGACUCCGCUAGUAGUGGCGAGCGAACGCGGACCAGCCGAGCCUUGAGAGUGACUAGAACCAUCUGGAAAGAUGGGCCACA